GUAGUGCUGUAUUUAAACUGAGAAUGGCACAGUCUGUAGCAGAGCGCAGUUAUGCUAGAUGUUGAGGGAGGUUGCUGGAGCGCUGUAUAGGAACAUGUAAAUACAGAUGUAUGAAACCGCUGUAAAAUAUCCACCUGAUCACCUGCUCUGCUGUACAUACGGAUAAGCUGGACAAUGGGAUGCUGUGUAAAGCCGGGAUCCGAAAAGUGGACAUUUUUUUUUUAUUUUGGAUCUUAACGUUGUGGAUUGAAUCGUUGAAUGUUCCGUGGUACAUGUGUGGGAACAUUACCAGGGUACUACUGGAACUGUUUAGUAGUUUCAUUUUUGUUUUAUUUCAAAUCAACAAUCGAUUUAAACAUUGUACUGGAUGCGAUAUUUGUCCACGUUUCUUACUUCCUUUUUUUAAACGAUCACAACAGUGUAUAAGGUUUUAAAUCUUAACCAUGCGCUGGAUUGGAUUACACAACGUGUUGACAAAAUGCAUGCAUUUGUAACUUUUUCAAGGAUAUAACGUAACGAAUCCAGGGACCCAAUAAGGGGUCCACGCAUUCUAAUUAAUAACAUAUGAUAUGGUGCGGGAGUCACUGGAGUGAUGCGUGACCUCGGUUUCUACGGAUUACAGUCAAGCUCUGGGAAUGAGUUUCCCAGAGAUUUGACUGCAUUAUGUUGUUCCAUUUACUUGGGAUUUAUUCAGGAAGUUGUCGCGGAUGCCGGUCUAUACCUGGGGUUCGAGGACAUCCACGUGUGUUAAAUUUCACAAUAUACUUCACAUCUGUGGACAGAUAGUCACGUUCACAUAAUCUACGGUAUAUAAAAAUGUACAUGCAAUGGAAUAAUACCUUAAUUACCAUUUGGAUUUUAAAUGGACAACCAUAAUGUAACGGAUACACAUAUUCACAGGCCAUUUGCCAGCAGUGACUGUCCUUGGAUACGUAGUCAGAAGCAGUUGCAUGAUGGAAAUUAAACACGAGCCUUGCAUUGACUGUCCAUGAAUGACACUGGGUUGUCUCUGGGUCUUGUGCUGCUGAAGAAAUGGACAUUAAUGACAGUGCCGGUCUGAUUACUUGCCUGUGGGAUGCCCCGUACUUAUACUCGAGGAGGCAGCUUGAUUUGCUGGGAAGUUUCUGAGGACAUUCAGGCUGACUGGAAGAAGACAGCAGGGCCUCCUGUUCUCUUGGCAAAACCGAGUCAGUCCAGAAGGUGUUUGAAGAGGAAUAGUACAAAAUGUUUAUAACCCAGGGAGUUUCCAGACCUUGAUCAUUCAUUAACAUAUUGGGCCUUAUGCAGGGGAAAUCCCAUAUGAAAAAUGUAUCUAUUUGAAAUACAGUAUACCACAAGUGUAUUUGAUUACAUGUUAGAUAUACGGUAGGACUUCAUUAUAACAAACAACAUAUAUGUAAAACUGAGAUUUUUGUGUUAUUUUAUGUUGUCCAGAAUGGGCCAUAGACUCAUGGCUUUUGAGAGUAUUCCUCAAGAUUUUCUGUGGAGUUUUAAUUUUAUUUAUAUAUAUAUAUAUUAAUAUAUAUAUAUAUAUAUAUAUA
This is a long non-coding RNA of Polyodon spathula (Mississippi paddlefish), 1541 nucleotides long. RefSeq lists it as uncharacterized. Lineage: Eukaryota; Metazoa; Chordata; Actinopteri; Acipenseriformes; Polyodontidae. The record is from RefSeq and is a predicted model, not a curated record. The transcript is spliced from 3 exons.